AGAGUUUGAUCCUGGCUCAGGAUGAACGCUAGNNNNNGUAAUACAUGCAAGUCGAGGGGCAGCAGGACGGUAGCAAUACCGUUGCUGGCGACCGGCAAACGGGUGCGGAACACGUACGCAACUUACCCUGAACUGGGGGAUAGCCCGGGGAAACCCGGAUUAAUACCCCGUAACACCACGAGGUGGCAUCACUUUGUGGUUAUAGCUCCGGUGGUUCAGGAUGGGCGUGCGGCUGAUUAGGUAGUUGGUUGGGGUAACGGCCCACCAAGCCUGCGAUCAGUAACUGGUGUGAGAGCACGACCAGUCACACGGGCACUGAGACACGGGCCCGACUCCUACGGGAGGCAGCAGUAAGGAAUAUUGGGCAAUGGAGGCAACUCUGACCCAGCCAUGCCGCGUGGAGGAUGAAGGCCCUCUGGGUUGUAAACUUCUUUUACCUGGGACGAAACCUUCUCAUUCUUGGGGAGUUGACGGUACCAGGGGAAUAAGCACCGGCUAACUCCGUGCCAGCAGCCGCGGUAAUACGGAGGGUGCAAGCGUUAUCCGGAUUCACUGGGUUUAAAGGGUGCGUAGGCGGGCAGGUAAGUCCGUGGUGAAAUCUCCGAGCUUAACUCGGAACUGCCGUGGAUACUAUUUGUCUUGAAUACUGUGGAGGUGAGCGGAAUAUGUCAUGUAGCGGUGAAAUGCUUAGAUAUGACAUAGAACACCAAUUGCGAAGGCAGCUCACUGCGCAGUCAUUGACGCUGAGGCACGAAAGCGUGGGGAUCAAACAGGAUUAGAUACCCUAGUAGUCC
Molecule: ribosomal RNA, 794 nt
Filed under: uncultured bacterium
Lineage: Bacteria
Description: bacterial SSU rRNA
Rfam family: Bacterial small subunit ribosomal RNA
Source: RNAcentral